GAUGAACGCUGGCGGCGUGCCUAAUACAUGCAAGUCGAGCGAACGGACGCGAAUCUUGCUUCUCUGAUGUUAGCGGCGGACGGGUGAGUAACACGUGGAUAACCUACCUAUAAGACUGGGAUAACUUCGGGAAACCGGAGCUAAUACCGUAUAAUAUUCUGAACCACAUGGUUCAAUAGUGAAAGACGGUCUUGCUGUCUCUUAUAGAUGGAUCCGCGCUGCAUUAGCUAGUUGGUAAGGUAACGGCUUACCACGGCAACCAUGCAUGACCGACCUGAGAGGGUGAUAGGCGACACUGGAGGUGAGACACGGACAAGAGGCCUACGAGAGGCAGCAGUAGGGAAUGUGACGCAGUGGGCGAAAACCUGACGGAGUGGCGCCGAGUGAGAGGUGGAGGUCUUGGGAUCGUAAAACUCUGUUAUUAGGUAAGAACAGAUGUGGACGGAAACGUAGACUUAGUGACGGUACCGAGUCAAAAAGCCACGGCUAACUACGUG
Molecule: ribosomal RNA, 497 nt
Filed under: uncultured bacterium
Lineage: Bacteria
Description: partial 16S ribosomal RNA
Rfam family: Bacterial small subunit ribosomal RNA
Source: RNAcentral